Molecule: ribosomal RNA, 2778 nt
Filed under: Salmonella enterica subsp. enterica serovar Typhimurium
Lineage: Bacteria; Pseudomonadati; Pseudomonadota; Gammaproteobacteria; Enterobacterales; Enterobacteriaceae
Description: partial 23S ribosomal RNA
Rfam family: Bacterial large subunit ribosomal RNA
Source: RNAcentral
GAUUCGUCACACUAUCAUUAACUGAAUCCAUAGGUUAAUGAGGCGAACCGGGGGAACUGAAACAUCUAAGUACCCCGAGGAAAAGAAAUCAACCGAGAUUCCCCCAGUAGCGGCGAGCGAACGGGGAGGAGCCCAGAGCCUGAAUCAGCAUGUGUGUUAGUGGAAGCGUCUGGAAAGGCGCGCGAUACAGGGUGACAGCCCCGUACACAAAAGCGCAUGUGCUGUGAGCUCGAUGAGUAGGGCGGGACACGUGGUAUCCUGUCUGAAUAUGGGGGGACCAUCCUCCAAGGCUAAAUACUCCUGACUGACCGAUAGUGAACCAGUACCGUGAGGGAAAGGCGAAAAGAACCCCGGCGAGGGGAGUGAAAAAGAACCUGAAACCGUGUACGUACAAGCAGUGGGAGCACCCUUCGGGGUGUGACUGCGUACCUUUUGUAUAAUGGGUCAGCGACUUAUAUUCUGUAGCAAGGUUAACCGUAUAGGGGAGCCGGAGGGAAACCGAGUCUUAAUUGGGCGUUAAGUUGCAGGGUAUAGACCCGAAACCCGGUGAUCUAGCCAUGGGCAGGUUGAAGGUUGGGUAACACUAACUGGAGGACCGAACCGACUAAUGUUGAAAAAUUAGCGGAUGACCUGUGGCUGGGGGUGAAAGGCCAAUCAAACCGGGAGAUAGCUGGUUCUCCCCGAAAGCUAUUUAGGUAGCGCCUCGUGAAUUCAUCUCCGGGGGUAGAGCACUGUUUCGGCUAGGGGGCCAUCCCGGCUUACCAACCCGAUGCAAACUGCGAAUACCGGAGAAUGUUAUCACGGGAGACACACGGCGGGUGCUAACGUCCGUCGUGAAGAGGGAAACAACCCAGACCGCCAGCUAAGGUCCCAAAGUCAUGGUUAAGUGGGAAACGAUGUGGGAAGGCCCAGACAGCCAGGAUGUUGGCUUAGAAGCAGCCAUCAUUUAAAGAAAGCGUAAUAGCUCACUGGUCGAGUCGGCCUGCGCGGAAGAUGUAACGGGGCUAAACCAUGCACCGAAGCUGCGGCAGCGAACGUAUCACCCAAGACAACUUUACGGAGUUGACGAUUGACGGAGCGAAGCGACGUCAAAGCGUUCAUUAAAGUCGAGUUGGCUUAGGGAUACGUUCGUUGGGUAGGGGAGCGUUCUGUAAGCCUGUGAAGGUGUGUCGUGAGGCAUGCUGGAGGUAUCAGAAGUGCGAAUGCUGACAUAAGUAACGAUAAAGCGGGUGAAAAGCCCGCUCGCCGGAAGACCAAGGGUUCCUGUCCAACGUUAAUCGGGGCAGGGUGAGUCGACCCCUAAGGCGAGGCCGAAAGGCGUAGUCGAUGGGAAACGGGUUAAUAUUCCCGUACUUGGUGUUACUGCGAAGGGGGGACGGAGAAGGCUAUGUUGGCCGGGCGACGGUUGUCCCGGUUUAAGCGUGUAGGUGUGUGUUCCAGGUAAAUCCGGUUCACUUUAACACUGAGGCGUGACGACGAGGCACUACGGUGCUGAAGCAACAAAUGCCCUGCUUCCAGGAAAAGCCUCUAAGCAUCAGGUAACAUCAAAUCGUACCCCAAACCGACACAGGUGGUCAGGUAGAGAAUACCAAGGCGCUUGAGAGAACUCGGGUGAAGGAACUAGGCAAAAUGGUGCCGUAACUUCGGGAGAAGGCACGCUGACACGUAGGUGAAGUGAUUUACUCAUGGAGCUGAAGUCAGUCGAAGAUACCAGCUGGCUGCAACUGUUUAUUAAAAACACAGCACUGUGCAAACACGAAAGUGGACGUAUACGGUGUGACGCCUGCCCGGUGCCGGAAGGUUAAUUGAUGGGGUCAGCGCAAGCGAAGCUCCUGAUCGAAGCCCCGGUAAACGGCGGCCGUAACUAUAACGGUCCUAAGGUAGCGAAAUUCCUUGUCGGGUAAGUUCCGACCUGCACGAAUGGCGUAAUGAUGGCCAGGCUGUCUCCACCCGAGACUCAGUGAAAUUGAACUCGCUGUGAAGAUGCAGUGUACCCGCGGCAAGACGGAAAGACCCCGUGAACCUUUACUAUAGCUUGACACUGAACAUUGAGCCUUGAUGUGUAGGAUAGGUGGGAGGCUUUGAAGUGUGGACGCCAGUCUGCAUGGAGCCGACCUUGAAAUACCACCCUUUAAUGUUUGAUGUUCUAACGUGGACCCGUAAUCCGGGUUGCGGACAGUGUCUGGUGGGUAGUUUGACUGGGGCGGUCUCCUCCUAAAGAGUAACGGAGGAGCACGAAGGUUGGCUAAUCCUGGUCGGACAUCAGGAGGUUAGUGCAAUGGCAUAAGCCAGCUUGACUGCGAGCGUGACGGCGCGAGCAGGUGCGAAAGCAGGUCAUAGUGAUCCGGUGGUUCUGAAUGGAAGGGCCAUCGCUCAACGGAUAAAAGGUACUCCGGGGAUAACAGGCUGAUACCGCCCAAGAGUUCAUAUCGACGGCGGUGUUUGGCACCUCGAUGUCGGCUCAUCACAUCCUGGGGCUGAAGUAGGUCCCAAGGGUAUGGCUGUUCGCCAUUUAAAGUGGUACGCGAGCUGGGUUUAGAACGUCGUGAGACAGUUCGGUCCCUAUCUGCCGUGGGCGCUGGAGAACUGAGGGGGGCUGCUCCUAGUACGAGAGGACCGGAGUGGACGCAUCACUGGUGUUCGGGUUGUCAUGCCAAUGGCACUGCCCGGUAGCUAAAUGCGGAAGAGAUAAGUGCUGAAAGCAUCUAAGCACGAAACUUGCCCCGAGAUGAGUUCUCCCUGAGACUUAGAGUCUCCUGAAGGAACGUUGAAGACGAC